This is a long non-coding RNA of Nilaparvata lugens (brown planthopper), 993 nucleotides long. RefSeq lists it as uncharacterized. NCBI's taxonomy places the organism in Eukaryota, Metazoa, Arthropoda, Insecta, Hemiptera, Delphacidae. The record is from RefSeq and is a predicted model, not a curated record. The transcript has 2 exons.
AAGUAUGUCUCAUAUGUUUCUUAGUUAAAUGAAUGCAUAAAAUUGAUUUACUCGUUGCUAAGUUGAAGUUAAAUUUUGUCAAAAUUUUCGUCUAUAGGCCUACCUAGAAGUAGGCCUAUUAAAUAUAUUUAAUAGGUACUAAAUAUAUUUAAUUCAUAAUAUUAGAAAAUAAUUGUUGGUGUAUUUCUUCUACAGGUACUUGUUUUGAACUCAUGGCUAAACUUCAAAAGGAUAUCCAUUAUUCGAAUUCCAAAGAGAUUGCGAUGAAACUUUAACGUUUGUUUUGAAUAAUUUUGAACAUUAUACAGGAGGAGUGGCCAAGAUUGCGGGGUCCAAUUGAGAGCCAGCGUUCUAAAUGAGGGAUGCAAUUGUGACAGAAAGAACGGCAGACAAGAAGAGAGUUGUCCGAGAAUGGAAAGAUGGGGAACGGAGGACUGUAACGGAGAAAUCAGAGAGGCAAACAACAACAACAACUAUAGGUGUCAUUACCAUGGAAAUAAUGGACAAUCGUGUGAUGAAAAUGAUGCAACCGAUGAACGGAAACAUAGGGAUAACAAUAAUGGACUCCGCUCUAGACGGAAUAUGAUGAUAAGGUUGGGGCAAAUGGGGUACAUUGAUAACCCACCUCUUCCCCCUCCUACUUUCAAACCUUGCGCCGUUCAUAGCAGACGUCGAUUUUGAGAAGAUCCACUAUUAUUUUAUUUUAGAGAUUUUAUAUCCACUAAAUUUAUUCUAAGAAGUCAAUCCAAGUUGAUUCAAUUUUUUUUCAUAUUCAAAUAAUUCAUUCUAUUUUCAGAAUGUGUACAUUUUUGAUCUAUGAAAUAAAUUGAUCUAUUUGUUAGAACAAGAAAUGAACAAUAACAUUACAUCAAACGUUAUUGAAAAGAGUGAGAUGAAUAAUUUAUCUCAACUUGAGGUGCAGAAAUUCCUCAACAUUAUUGUCUCUAUGCCUGAUGAAAAUUUGAUUAAAAACUUCAACGACUUAUGAUCUUA